UCGAGCUUAAUUUCUUUUUUAUCCAUAAGAGAUUUAUCCAACAGUCUCCCUAACUCACAGAUCCUAUACUCAGCUUUCUUGAGCUCUUCCUUCCUGGUUCGGAUCACUGAUGUGGAACCUAAUAGGAUAUGAUCAAGAUCAUCUUUCUGGUCUUCCAAUAGCCGGGCUCUCUUGUUGCUAUCCUCAAGUUCUUGGGCUUUUCCCUUACGUUCCUCUUUCAAAUUCU
Molecule: long non-coding RNA, 226 nt
Filed under: Lathyrus oleraceus (garden pea)
Lineage: Eukaryota; Viridiplantae; Streptophyta; Magnoliopsida; Fabales; Fabaceae
Description: Pisum sativum (pea) long non-coding RNA (PSAT_LNC028536)
Source: RNAcentral